Cydia splendana is the source of this 424-nucleotide long non-coding RNA. RefSeq lists it as uncharacterized. Lineage: Eukaryota; Metazoa; Arthropoda; Insecta; Lepidoptera; Tortricidae. The transcript has 3 exons. The record is from RefSeq and is a predicted model, not a curated record.
AAAUCAGUUCUCUACAUAUCGCCAUUAAAAUUUGCCUAUAAAACGUAUUAUGGCCAGUUUUUAUCGGUAAUGCAUCAAUAAAAGUCGCUAGUGUAACCGACCCGUAUAAAUUGGCCAACUAAACAAUGGCAUACGCAGUAUCGCUCCACAUUUCUUCGUGGCUAGUUUUUGCAUUCACGGGCGUAUAUCACAGUUAUUUCAAAACCCCGCUCAGGCCAACACGUCUUCGUAGUUUUUAAUUAAAUUAUAUGUGCCCUCUGCUGUUGGUAUGUGCGUAAAUCUACACGUGUCUAAAAGCGUCCAGAUAUCCGUGAGCACGUGUGAAAGCCGCAACACUCGGAUUUGCAUUGGAAGGAUGGCGAGUGCGAACGAGACAACGGCAGAUCGAGAUAACGGCUGACCUGGUGACAGGGAUGUGUAAGGU